CGCCUCUUGCAAAAUCAACAAAUAAGAGGUCCCGCCUGCCCCGUGACUAUAUGUUCAACGGCCGCGGUAUUUUGACCGUGCAAAGGUAGCGAAAUCACUUGUCUUUUAAAUGAAGACCUGUAUGAAUGGCAUAACGAGGGCUUAACUGUCUCUUCUUUCCAAGCCAAUGAAAUUGAUCUCCCCGUGCAGAAGCGGGGAUAACUACAUAAGACGAGAAGACCCUGUGGAGCUUUAGACACCAAGGCAGAUUAUGUUAAACACCCCUAACUAACGGACUAAACUAAUUAAUCCCUGCCCUAUUGUCUUAGGUUGGGGCGACCGCGGGGAAAUAAUAACCCCCCAUGUGGAACAGGAGCACCCCUCCCACAGUUAAGAGCCUCCGCUCUAACAAACAGAACCUCUGACCAAACAUGAUCCGGCAACGCCGAUCAACGGACCAAGUUACCCCAGGGAUAACAGCGCAAUCCCCUUUUAGAGCCCAUAUCGACAAGGGGGUUUACGACCUCGAUGUUGGAUCAGGACAUCCUAAUGGUGCAGCCGCUAUUAAGGGUUCGUUUGUUCAACGAUUAAAGUCCU
Molecule: ribosomal RNA, 576 nt
Filed under: Chaetodontoplus mesoleucus (vermiculated angelfish)
Lineage: Eukaryota; Metazoa; Chordata; Actinopteri; Pomacanthidae
Description: partial large subunit ribosomal RNA
Rfam family: Bacterial large subunit ribosomal RNA
Source: RNAcentral